RNAcentral lists this ribosomal RNA (225 nucleotides) under Salmonella enterica subsp. enterica serovar Oranienburg. RNAcentral describes it as "partial 16S ribosomal RNA". It matches the Rfam family "Bacterial small subunit ribosomal RNA", at positions 1 to 222 of the family's 1533-position model. Lineage: Bacteria; Pseudomonadati; Pseudomonadota; Gammaproteobacteria; Enterobacterales; Enterobacteriaceae. RNAcentral also lists the same sequence under 14 other names. The record is from RNAcentral.
AAAUUGAAGAGUUUGAUCAUGGCUCAGAUUGAACGCUGGCGGCAGGCCUAACACAUGCAAGUCGAACGGUAACAGGAAGCAGCUUGCUGCUUUGCUGACGAGUGGCGGACGGGUGAGUAAUGUCUGGGAAACUGCCUGAUGGAGGGGGAUAACUACUGGAAACGGUGGCUAAUACCGCAUAACGUCGCAAGACCAAAGAGGGGGACCUUCGGGCCUCUUGCCAUC